Molecule: ribosomal RNA, 989 nt
Filed under: uncultured bacterium
Lineage: Bacteria
Description: bacterial SSU rRNA
Rfam family: Bacterial small subunit ribosomal RNA
Source: RNAcentral
GUGCCAGCAGCCGCGGUAAGACGUAGGGGGCCAGCGUUGUCCGGAGUUACUGGGCGUAAAGCGCCCGCAGGCGGUCCUCCACGUUUGUGCUGCCAGCCCGCGGCUUAACUGCGGGAGUGGUACAAAACGAGGGGACUGGAGCCCGAGAGAGGGACCUGGAACUCCCGGUGGAGCGGUGAAAUGCGUAGAGAUCGGGAAGAACACCAAAGGCGCAGGCAGGGUCCUGGCUCGGUGCUGACGCUCAGGGGCGAAAGCGAGGGGAGCGAACGGGAUUAGAUACCCCGGUAGUCCUCGCCGUAAACGAUGACCACUAGGCGUGGGAGGUAUCGACCCCUUCCGUGCCGCAACUAACGCGCUAAGUGGUCCGCCUGGGGAGUACGGUCGCAAGAUUAAAACUCAAAGGAAUUGACGGGGACCCGCACAAGCAGCGGAGCGUGUGGUUUAAUUCGAUGCGACGCGCAGAACCUUACCAGGCUUGGACAUGGAGCCGCACCAUCCUGAAAGGGAUGUUCCUUCGGGACGACUCCACAGGUGCUGCAUGGCUGUCGUCAGCUCGUGCCGUGAGGUGUUGGGUUAAGUCCCGCAACGAGUGCAACCCCUGUCGUCGGUUGCUUUCUCCGACGAGACUGCCACUCUCAAAGUGGAGGAAGGUGGGGAUGACGUCAAGUCAGCACGGCCCUGACGGCCUGGGCUACACACACGCUACAAUGGGCGCGACAACGAGUGGCCAACCCGCGAGGGGGAGCUAAUCUCAGCAAACGCGCUCUCAGUUCGGAUUGGAGGCUGCAACCCGCCUCCAUGAAGUCGGAGUUGCUAGUAACCGUGGGUCAGCACACCACGGUGAAUACGUUCCCGGGUCUUGUACACACCGCCCGUCACACCACGAAAGUCGGCAACACCUGAAGCCGCCGGGCUAACCCCUUUCGCAGGGGAGGCAGGCGUCCAGGGUGGGGUCGGUGAUUGGGGUGAAGUCGUAACAAGGUAACCGU